Molecule: long non-coding RNA, 2246 nt
Organism: Melospiza georgiana
Lineage: Eukaryota; Metazoa; Chordata; Aves; Passeriformes; Passerellidae
Exons: 6
Source: RefSeq, a predicted model, not a curated record
UGAAGCCCCCGCCGGUGGCGCUCGGAGCUUUCUGCCUUGCUCAGGGCUGCGGGGGAGGAGGAGGAGGUGAGAUGGCAAACGUGCUCGCAGCUAUUUCUGCUGCAGCUUCCUGUCCUUGACCCAGCGAUACAUUGUGAAGUUCUCCUGAGUCAAUGAAUCCUGGUAAAAUGCAGUAAAGGAUUUAAGGUUAUCGUCUGUCUCUCUCUAACUUCUGACAUCUCUUUAUAACAAGAAAGAGUCACAGCCAACUGUAACAGGAGGGCAACACAAUGAAUCCUGUCUAAAUAAGCUGCAGAUCUCAGACCUGGAAGAAUUCAGUGCCUUUGUAGCACUUUCUCUCCAGCUUGCACUGUAGGUGUUUCAUGAGAAUGUGGAGCUGCAUGUCACAGUACCUUUUUUCCAUGGGUUAAAGGAAACUGUUCAAACACUCCCAGCUUGUGCUGGCCAGUCAUUCUCUCUUUGUAAUUAGCAUGAAGACUACCCUUCAGUCAAAACUAGCCACCUGGAAAGUUUCAGCUUGUAAUAUGCAGCUUUUUUUUGUGAAUUAUGAAUGUGCAAAAAAGAGACCUUUCUCCUUACACCCACUUCCUUGCAUAAUUCAAAAUAUGAAUGAAUGAAUUUUAUUCAGGCUUGCCAAAAAAAUUAUAUUUCAGCUGAUAACAAGCAUGAAAAAUUUUAGAUGAAAGGGAUUAAAAAAAAAAAGAAUAUUCUGAGCAUGGGAGAACAGCAGGUUAAGACAGAAGUCUAUAACUAUAACAAUUGCUAUCAAGCAAAUACCAUAUCCAAGCACUAAAUCUUGCUUUGUGCUGCCCUAGUGCGCAGUAGCAGGGACGGAGUAGAAUAAUAAAAGCUGAUCCCCUUAUGCAAACAGCAGGGCACAGCACUUGAGAGAAUACAAGGAGAAGGUGAGCCUGCCUACUGUUCUGGCUUGCUAACCAUAUUCCCAAGGUCUGUGGGUUAGUUGUCUAGCUCCAGUCAGAUAGCAAAAGGUACUUCAAACACUAGCAAAGGGAAUGUUUUGGUCCUUUACAGAAGAACAUUUCACUAAUUCCUUGCCUCCAAAUGUACUGUUCUAUUAAAUAAAGUAUUUGAAGGAAUUCAUAUAAGCAACAUCAUGGUUUAAUGGGUCAAAAAGGGAACAGAAUCAGUGCCAGGUAUUUUUGGGAUUGUGUAUUUUAAGAAUAUAUAUCUGAGAAGAAGGUAUUAUCUGUGCAAAGCAGAAUGAGAUUUGGGCUCAUGCCAGUACCACUUUGAAAAUAAACUAUCACAGUGAAAAAAUGUUACCAUCUGGAACAUUUCUGCAUCAUAUUUUCUCUUGUUCCCAAUAAUGCCUUGGUGAUAAGUCCAUCUCUCCUUUUCUACUCAGAAAACAGGAUGAAAACUCCCAUUCAUUUACUAUGUGUUUUUUAGAAAAAAUGCCCAUUACAGUGGCUAAACAGCAGUGAAUACUAAAGUAUUACCUUGCAGAUUCACAGAUCCACAUUGAUUAGAGGAUCAACAGACAGGAUUUGCAAAUAGGAAGCCUGGGCGUAGAAAUCCCCUUCCAGUCUGAUGUGAGUUGACUGUUGCAAGUUGAGCUUGGCAGAGAGUGACCAAAAUUGAGUUGUCAGCCUCCUCCUGCAUAGUGGAAGAAGUUGUUGCUUUCUUGUGCAGAUGCAAGAGUUUCUGUGGGAAAACAGAACAUAAUCAUGGUUCUGAAUGUCUCUGUGGAUUGGUAAUGUCUCUAAUACAUAGAUCACUUGUGCAAAUUCAGUCCCAGCUGGAUGGGAAAUUAUUGAAAAUGGUUGUUGUUUGAUUGAUAUAAAAUGAGUUGUCAGCUUGAUUCAAUGCCUUCAGGGCAGAUGUCCACAGCAUAAUUGGCACCUGUCAGAAGCAAAGAAUUCCUUGGUACAGAGUAACAGCUACUCAUGCAACCACCCAGAACUGUCCUUGCAUGCCAGGGCUCAAAGAAGAAGGCAGAAAAAAAAUACUUCUGGGCAGGAUCUUUUAUGCCAUAAAGUCAAUGAGAGAUUUGAUGUGACACUUGGUGCAAGCUUUUCCCUGGGAUACUGGCUACUCAUGAUCAGCCUUUCUGCUGUUUGGUCAACACUUUCGCUAAGAAUUAGAAGAAAACUCACAUAUUUGGUUACUUGUUAUUAUUGUCAUGGUGAAGGUGGGUUUAUAAAGACCACUUAAUAAAGAAAUGUUUACAUGUUUGCUUAUAAUAAAAAAAUGCUGUGAAUAAUUUUAUUUUUCUAUUUCUUGAG